Molecule: ribosomal RNA, 137 nt
Filed under: uncultured bacterium
Lineage: Bacteria
Description: partial 16S ribosomal RNA
Rfam family: Bacterial small subunit ribosomal RNA
Source: RNAcentral
UGGGGAAUAUUGCACAAUGGAGGGAACUCUGAUGCAGCGAUGCCGCGUGAGGGAAGAAGGUUUUCGGAUUGUAAACCUCUGUCUUUGGGGACGAAAAUGACGGUACCCAAGGAGGAAGCUCCGGCUAACUACGUGCC